GAUGAACGCUAGCGGCAGGCUUAACACAUGCAAGUCGAGGGGUAUAGUUCUUCGGAACUAGAGACCGGCGCACGGGUGCGUAACGCGUAUGCAAUCUACCUUUUACAGGGGAAUAGCCCAGAGAAAUUUGGAUUAAUGCCCCAUAGUAUAAUUUAUUCGCAUGAGUAGAUUAUUAAAGUUCCAACGGUAAAAGAUGAGCAUGCGUCCCAUUAGCUAGAUGGUAAGGUAACGGCUUACCAUGGCGACGAUGGGUAGGGGUCCUGAGAGGGAGAUCCCCCACACUGGUACUGAGACACGGACCAGACUCCUACGGGAGGCAGCAGUGAGGAAUAUUGGUCAAUGGACGCAAGUCUGAACCAGCCAUGCCGCGUGCAGGAUGACGGUCCUAUGGAUUGUAAACUGCUUUUGUACGAGAAGAAACACUCCUACGUGUAGGAGCUUGACGGUAUCGUAAGAAUAAGGAUCGGCUAACUCCGUG
RNAcentral lists this ribosomal RNA (478 nucleotides) under uncultured bacterium. RNAcentral describes it as "bacterial SSU rRNA". It matches the Rfam family "Bacterial small subunit ribosomal RNA", at positions 28 to 507 of the family's 1533-position model. The record is from RNAcentral.